This 497-nucleotide ribosomal RNA is filed under the name uncultured bacterium. RNAcentral describes it as "partial 16S ribosomal RNA". It matches the Rfam family "Bacterial small subunit ribosomal RNA", at positions 28 to 507 of the family's 1533-position model. The record is from RNAcentral.
GAUGAACGCUGGCGGCGUGCCUAAUAUAUGCAAGUCGAGCGAACGGACGAGAAGCUUGCUUCUCUGAUGUUAGCGGCGGACGGGUGAGUAACACGUGGAUAACCUACCUAUAAGACUGGGAUAACUUCGGGAAACCGGAGCUAAUACCGGAUAAUAUUUUGAACCGCAUGGUUCAAAAGUGAAAGACGGUCUUGCUGUCACUUAUAGAUGGAUCCGCGCUGCAUUAGCUAGUUGGUAAGGUAACGGCUUACCAAGGCAACGAUGCAUAGCCGACCUGAGAGAGUAAUCGCCCACACUAGAACUGAGACGCGGUCCAGACUCCUUCGGGAUGCACCAAUAGGGAAUCUUCCACACUGGGCGCAAGCCUGACGGAUGAACACCGCGCGAGUGAUGAACUUCUACGGGUCGUAAAGCUCCGUAAUAAGGGAAGAACAUAUGUCUAAGUAUCUGGGCACCUCUUGACCGUACCUAAUCAAAAGGGCACGGCUUACUACGUG